ACGCCCGUAGCUCAAUGGUAGAGCAGUCGCCUUAUACGCGAUUUGUUGGGGGUUCGAGUCCCUCCGGGCGUA
RNAcentral lists this transfer RNA (72 nucleotides) under Candidatus Taylorbacteria bacterium RIFCSPHIGHO2_01_FULL_48_38. RNAcentral's name for it is "tRNA-Ile". It matches the Rfam family "tRNA". From Rfam's summary of the family: Transfer RNA (tRNA) molecules are approximately 80 nucleotides in length. Their secondary structure includes four short double-helical elements and three loops (D, anti-codon, and T loops). RNAcentral also lists the same sequence under 5 other names. The record is from RNAcentral. Lineage: Bacteria; Candidatus Tayloriibacteriota.